Molecule: ribosomal RNA, 292 nt
Filed under: uncultured eukaryote
Lineage: Eukaryota
Description: partial 18S ribosomal RNA
Rfam family: Eukaryotic small subunit ribosomal RNA
Source: RNAcentral
GGUUGAUCCUGCCAGUAGUCAUAUGCUUGUCUCAAAGAUUAAGCCAUGCAUGUCUAAGUAUAAGCAUUUAUACAGUGAAACUGCGAAUGGCUCAUUAAAUCAGUUAUCGUUUAUUUGAUAGUACAUUACUACUUGGAUAACCGUGGUAAUUCUAGAGCUAAUACAUGCAUAAAGUCCCAUUGGGAUGUAUUUAUUAGAUAAAAAACCAAUGCCAUCUCGGCUUAUUGGUGAUUCAUAAUAACUUGUCGAAUCGCAUGGCCUUGCGCCGGCGAUGGUUCAUUCAAAUUUCUGC